UAACUGAAUGCUGCAGGUGAUAUGGCAGCUGGGAAUGCAGGAGAAAAAUACUGAAAACUGCUGCCAUUUAUUGAGUGCCUAUUCUCUGCCUGGCUCCUGGAAUAAUGAUAACAAUAUUUAACAUAUAAUACAGCAUGAGCAUCAUCCAGUUGGAGUGGAUGCCAGCCGAAAACACAACUGAUUUAAUGACAUCACCUUGGCCAACAUUCAGGAAUUCAGAACUCUAAGUUACCCUGAACUAUCUAAAAACGAAAAUGGAAAGAUAAUUCUGCUUCAUGUCUGGUGUACUCCAACUGUGGAUAAGGUGCCCUUCAGGGCCUUAAAGGACAGGAACAAAGUAUGGCAGUUUGUCAUCAGAGCUCCAGGAAGCCACGAGGAAACUGAGCUUAGGAACCAAAUUGCUCAAAAUGGGAAAGAAAUGAAGAGAUGUACAGCAGAUGCUCUCAGCCUGGAAGUGUAACCUUCGGGAAGAAGGAACCACCAGUCAUGCUAAUUGGUCUUGAACAAGGCUUGUUUGCGCUGAGAGAUGAGAGAGAGCACCCCAUUUCUUCCUGAUUCAGUUCUGUAGACAUCUUUCUGGGAUUUGCAAUUGAUAAUUAUAGACACAGAGAUACACUUGGCCUAAUUUGCCAGCCUAUUUGGAGUCAUGAGUGUCACCCUGUAUGUCUGGUAUAUGUGCAGAUGGUUUCUGGCGGCUUCAAUAAAAUCAGAAAACACAAAA
This is a long non-coding RNA of Homo sapiens (human), 721 nucleotides long. RefSeq lists it as uncharacterized. Lineage: Eukaryota; Metazoa; Chordata; Mammalia; Primates; Hominidae. The record is from RefSeq and is a predicted model, not a curated record. The transcript has 3 exons.